AACCCAUGGUGAGGGCACUUUCUCAAUAGAUCUUUGUAUCUCUCCCAUGCAUUAUAAAGGGUUUCUAAAUCCAUCUGCACAAAAGAAGAGAUAUCAUACCUUAGUUU
This 107-nucleotide small nucleolar RNA is filed under the name Gossypium barbadense (sea-island cotton). RNAcentral's name for it is "Plant small nucleolar RNA R71". It matches the Rfam family "Plant small nucleolar RNA R71". Rfam says of the family: R71 is a member of the C/D box family of snoRNAs containing the C (UGAUGA) and D (CUGA) box motifs. Multiple nearly identical copies of this snoRNA have been identified in Arabidopsis, and it is thought to function as a 2'-O-ribose methylation guide for 18S ribosomal RNA. Lineage: Eukaryota; Viridiplantae; Streptophyta; Magnoliopsida; Malvales; Malvaceae. The record is from Rfam by way of RNAcentral. RNAcentral also lists the same sequence under 1 other name.